RNAcentral lists this long non-coding RNA (941 nucleotides) under Scleropages formosus (Asian bonytongue). RNAcentral describes it as "lncRNA (ENSSFOG00015030479.1)". The record is from RNAcentral. Lineage: Eukaryota; Metazoa; Chordata; Actinopteri; Osteoglossiformes; Osteoglossidae.
CGACUGGAGAAAGGGGACACAAGCGCGGCUCUGUGACGCGCUCCGGUCACGCUCCGCCUGCUCUUCCGCGGAGUUUCCUAGUAAGCGGGAGCGCGCCGCGGUGAGCACAUUCACAGAGAAUUUCAAUACCUAGGAAAUGAGUCAUAAGCGGAGCCGCAUGUUCGCGCGUGGGCGGCUCCCGACAGCUCGCAUAGUACUGCGGCUGACUCACUCACUGACUGGGUACACGGCUGCUGUCGCUGCACUCGAACCCGAGCUCUCGAACGCAAUGGACCCGAAAGUGCUCUUGUACGUAACUUGGGGAGCGAUGCUCGCGGCCGGGACGAGCGCGCAGAACAGUCAGUGUGGCCGAGAUGAGUUUUGGAAUUCGGACAUAGGCCAAUGUGUGCCCUGUUCAACGUGCCAGAAAUAUCCAAAGACCCCAUCAUGCGAGACAUGCUCUUUAGCAGAAAGCAGCUCUGAUGUCUGGAAGCUGGCAGCCAUUACUAGUUUCUCCACCCUGGCAAUCGUACUGUUUGUAGGUGUCCUGCUAGUAGGAAUACUGGUGCAUCGAUCUAGGUCGAGGAGGAAAAGCAAUUUACGUGAACCUGUUGAGGAGACGACCGGACCUCUUUAUCAGAUAUGAACAUUUGCACAGUUUACACCUGAGCAAAUGUCACCUGUACUGAUGUGCCCAGCUGACAGAUUUCUGUAAAAGGCACCAGAACAUGAGAGAAGUUUGGGACGACCGUAAUUCCAUUCACUUCCUCAGUGUUUAUAACGCCUGUCUGCUGUUCUUCAAUGUCUGUGAUGAAUAAGAUGAACAUUGCACACAUAAGAUGAAGCAGUAAACAAAAAGCAUUGAAUAGAAGUUUGUUUUAAUUUCAUUCAUUUUAAAUUAUUUUUAAUUUUAUUGUAGAUCACUUAAUAAAAAUAUUAAGCCUUAAAUAUUUUUUAAAUUU